RNA transcript from Drosophila simulans, 2491 nucleotides. It is a transcript of the gene named DNA repair protein XRCC1, with no coding region annotated. NCBI's taxonomy places the organism in Eukaryota, Metazoa, Arthropoda, Insecta, Diptera, Drosophilidae. The transcript has 7 exons. The record is from RefSeq and is a predicted model, not a curated record.
GCUAGUGAUGGGCAAUUUGUGCACACAAUACAGGGUUUUUUUUUUAAAUAGUUGGUUAAGCAAAAUCAGCAUAAUUCACCUCCCAUCCUCAAAAGACAACAAAUAAACAAAAAUUCUAGCGCCCAUGAAAACACUUGCAAACGACUUAAUUUCUUUUUGACAAUCAGUUUAAUCACAGGCACAAUCGCCGGCAAAGCAAUUUGCCGCCAAAUCAUCGGCGUCUCAGUGUAAUUCAUGAGACUUGCGAAAUGCCAAUUGCGCUUUUCAAGUCCGUACGCGAAGUGAGCAGCGAAGAUGCGGUGCACGUAGCAGACAAUCUGCUCAAGGAAAACGCCGGCAAGAAGUGGCGAACCAAGGCGCCGGGAGAGAAAUCCGCAUACGUUGUGCUGGAGUUCGAGGAGCCGCAUCAGAUUACGGGCAUCGAUAUUGGCAACGAACAUGCCGCCUUCAUCGAGGUGCUGGUCAGUCGAACGGGCUGCCAGGCGGACGAUUUCCGCGAGCUGCUGCUGUCCAGUUCUUUUAUGACGCCCAUCGAGAGCAAGAACUCGAGCAAUCCAAAUCGCGUGCGCUGCUUCAAUAGCACUGCGCUGGCGGAGAGUGCACUGCCGGAGAAGUGGAAGCUGCUUAAGAUUGUCUGCACACAGCCCUUCAAUCGCCAUGUGCCAUACGGGCUCUCAUUCGUCAAGGUGCAUGUGGUGGCUGCUGCGGCGCCUAAGGUCAAAUCCCUGCUGCCGCAGGGUGUGAUGCAAUUCGGUGCCUUUAAGCUGCGCGAGGAGUCGCCGGACUCGGAGACGGACAACCAGGUGAACAGAUUUCACAGCUGGAAGAAGGAGACGCAGCACAAGACGCCCGCGGUCACUGCGGCCUCCACAGCGGCGGCCAUUCGGGACGCCGGCACCACGGCCCUGCGAAGGCUGAGCGUUGGCAAGGUUUCUAGCCUGGCUGCAUCGCCCAAACCGUCGCCCAAAGCCUCGAAGUCGUCAUCACCAGUUCUCAAUGCUCUGCAUCCGGUUUCUCCGACGCCAUUGGACGCCAAGCCCCUGGACCGCAAUCGAGCUUCACUCUUGUUCGGCGACGAUGAUGAGGACGAGGAGGACGACGAGGUAAAUGCCAAGAAACACCGGCUGAGCAAGCAUCUGGAGGCGGACAAGGAUCGCCGGCGUUUGGAGCAGGAAAAGGAGAGGGAGAGCAGAAAGAAAAAGUCCAGCAGGCAUUCCUUGGAGAAGUCAAACAGCAAAGAAGACAAACCCCCGGCAAAGGAGCACAAGUCAUCCUCCAGAGAAAAAUCCACAUCCAAAGAAGAGAAGCAUUUACGAAAAGAGGGAAGGGAGCACAAGUCAUCCUCCAGAGAAAAAUCCACAGCCAAAGAAGAAAAGCAUUUACGAAAAGAGGAAAGGUCGCAUUCGAAGGAGGAGAAGUCCAGGAGUAAGGAUAAAUCUAAGCAUGACCACAGAUCUUUGGACACCUCGACGGCCAAGGAAAGUUCGCGGCCAUCUGCGCAAAAGCGUCUUUCAUCUCCCAACGGAGUCGCAGUCACGCCCGCCAAAAAGCCAAAGAUCGUGGAGACAGCGAUUCAAUACCGUCCUCUUAAUCAGUUACUCAAGGGUGUGGUCCUGGUCAUCAGUGGCAUACAGAAUCCCGAUCGUGGAGACUUGCGCUCGAAAGCGGUCGCCUUGGGAGCCAAGUACAAGGCUGAUUGGGGGUCAGGAUGCACCCACCUGAUAUGCGCAUUCAAAAACACGCCGAAGUACAAUCAGGUGAAGGGCAAGGGCAAGAUUGUGACACGCAGUUGGAUCGAGAAAUGCUAUGAGCUGAAGAAGUACCUGCCAUGGCGACGUUACGCCCUGGAUACCAAUGACCUUGGCCAGCCGGAGAGCGAUGAGGAGCUGUGCGAUGAGGCGACGAGGCCACGACGCGAUUCCGGCAAGGAUGAUGUGGCAAUGCUGGAGGAGGAUAGCAAGCUAACAGCUCAAGCGGAUCAGAAUAAUGUGGAAAUGAAUCCAGAUGCCUUAUCGGGCCCUGAUACGGAAGAUGAACUGCAGCGCGUGGCUGAGGAAAACAAAACCAAGAAAGACAAACUAAGGACUACAGUUAAGACGAAAUCGCGAGAUAUAUACGAAGUUAGCACCGAUGAAGAGGACUAUCUGGAGCAAAAGAAGAAACAAAUCGUUUAGGUGCCCUUUCUAAUCUCGUCUCAUAUUUUGUAUACGCCUUUAUUACUUUAAUUGCUUGUAAUGCGUAGUGCGAGUUUCAUAUUUUUUAAUUUGUUUAUCGAAUAUACUCGUUAUUCAGGAAAGCAGGCUGAUUUCGACAAAUUCAAAAUUAAUCUAUCGCAUGUUCAUUUAAAAGAACUAUCGAAUGAACCACCUCUAGGAUAGUGCGAUGGUCCAUCUCCAGCAGGACUUCACAAAAAAGUACUAACGCAUAGCACGAUUCUACAAGGAAUUUCCACCCAAAGAGCGUGCCAGUCGUUGGAAAAUUGAGUUAUUAA